GGGGGCGAUCGGUUUCGACGGCGGUGAUGACGCAAGGGAAGCGGGUAGAGGAUGCAAAGUCAUCUCUUUAACGAUCUUUGCAAAAAAAUAACUGCCAACAAGCAGAACACUGAUUUCGCUCUCGCUGCCUAAGCGAGACUCGAAUCCGUCAGCCUAACGAUGCUUUCGCGUUAGUUUCUGGCGUCGUUUUAGAAAGCCACUGGUUUGCGUCCGGUUCGCCGGGGCGCAAGCGACUUUAGGCGAAUAGGUUCGUCAGCAACUCGUCUGCGUGAGUGCUGGAGCCGAAAACUACGGGUAGCAGACUGCACCCGGAGAAGCCUUGGGUUUUACAUCGUCGGACGGGAGUUCGAUUCUCCCCGCCUCCACCA
This 368-nucleotide transfer-messenger RNA is filed under the name Trueperella sp. It matches the Rfam family "transfer-messenger RNA". Rfam says of the family: Bacterial tmRNA, also known as 10Sa RNA or SsrA, is named for its dual tRNA and mRNA-like properties. Its role is to liberate the mRNA from a stalled ribosome. The record is from RNAcentral. Lineage: Bacteria; Bacillati; Actinomycetota; Actinomycetes; Actinomycetales; Actinomycetaceae.